GUGCGUUUCAACAGAUUGAUGAUAUACUGAUGUUGAGAUAACAAUAAGCCACCAUUGAAUUUAUUAACAGAAAUGCCAAGAAAGUAAUGUAGCGGUGCUGAUUCUUUGAUAGAAAACUUUUACCCCAAGCUUUGAAUGAAAUCGGCAAUUUUGUUGUUGUCAUUUCCAGUAACGAUAAGAUCGUCCACAUACACAAGAAAAU
RNAcentral lists this unclassified non-coding RNA (202 nucleotides) under Hevea brasiliensis (rubber tree). Lineage: Eukaryota; Viridiplantae; Streptophyta; Magnoliopsida; Malpighiales; Euphorbiaceae. The record is from RNAcentral.